GACGAACGCUGGCGGCGCGCCUAACACAUGCAAGUCGAACGAGAAGAGAUUGAGUUUACUUGAGCUCUUCUAGUGGCGGACGGGUGAGUAACACGUGAAGAACCUGCCUUACAGAGGGGGACAACAGCUGGAAACGGCUGCUAAUACCGCAUAACACCGAUUGAGGGCAUCCUUAGUCGGUCAAAGGAGCAAUCCGCUGUAAGAUGGCUUCGCGUCCGAUUAGACAGUUGGCGGGGUAACAGCCCACCAAAUCUACGAUCGGUAGCCGGACUGAGAGGUUGAACGGCCACAUUGGGACUGAGACACGGCCCAGACUCCUACGGGAGGCAGCAGUGGGGGAUAUUGCACAAUGGAGGAAACUCUGAUGCAGCGACGCCGCGUGAGGGAAGAAGGUUUUCGGAUUGUAAACCUCUGUCUUCGGUGACGAGAAUGACGGUAGCCGAGGAGGAAGCC
Molecule: ribosomal RNA, 453 nt
Filed under: uncultured bacterium
Lineage: Bacteria
Description: bacterial SSU rRNA
Rfam family: Bacterial small subunit ribosomal RNA
Source: RNAcentral